UUUUUAUUUCCUGGAGAAAUAAGACACAGUUGUGUUUGAAACCCACACUGACGAGCCCCUGGUCACAUCCCCCACCCUCCACUAGGUCCACCAACCACACAGUGUAGACUGUACACUGCACAACCCUAGGGCCACUGUUAAUACUGUAGGCUUUGUGAAAAUCUCUGUCGUGUCUGUGAAGGCACACUCUGGAGCUGGUGCAGUGUAAAACAUAUAGUGGUCUUCAGAGAAGAUUCAAACAAGAGGCAAGAGGAAGUGCAGAGAUGCGAAGUGUGACCCAAGUCAGCCAGCAGCUAUGGCUGUGGGCUGCUCAGUUUAGGACACAUCCCAUAAGCCUGAGAAAAUGAGCUUUCCUCUUAGUAUUCCCAGAGGCCCAAGCCACUCAGCA
Long non-coding RNA from Talpa occidentalis (Iberian mole), 388 nucleotides. RefSeq lists it as uncharacterized. The record is from RefSeq and is a predicted model, not a curated record. The transcript has 3 exons. NCBI's taxonomy places the organism in Eukaryota, Metazoa, Chordata, Mammalia, Eulipotyphla, Talpidae.